This 405-nucleotide ribosomal RNA is filed under the name Klebsiella quasipneumoniae. Its description in RNAcentral is "bacterial SSU rRNA". It matches the Rfam family "Bacterial small subunit ribosomal RNA", at positions 821 to 1226 of the family's 1533-position model. The record is from RNAcentral. Lineage: Bacteria; Pseudomonadati; Pseudomonadota; Gammaproteobacteria; Enterobacterales; Enterobacteriaceae.
AGGUUGUGCCCUUGAGGCGUGGCUUCCGGAGCUAACGCGUUAAAUCGACCGCCUGGGGAGUACGGCCGCAAGGUUAAAACUCAAAUGAAUUGACGGGGGCCCGCACAAGCGGUGGAGCAUGUGGUUUAAUUCGAUGCAACGCGAAGAACCUUACCUGGUCUUGACAUCCACAGAACUUGCCAGAGAUGGCUUGGUGCCUUCGGGAACUGUGAGACAGGUGCUGCAUGGCUGUCGUCAGCUCGUGUUGUGAAAUGUUGGGUUAAGUCCCGCAACGAGCGCAACCCUUAUCCUUUGUUGCCAGCGGUCCGGCCGGGAACUCAAAGGAGACUGCCAGUGAUAAACUGGAGGAAGGUGGGGAUGACGUCAAGUCAUCAUGGCCCUUACGACCAGGGCUACACACGUGCU